RNAcentral lists this non-coding RNA (30 nucleotides) under Mus musculus (house mouse). Lineage: Eukaryota; Metazoa; Chordata; Mammalia; Rodentia; Muridae. The record is from RNAcentral.
UGUCCUGGUACCUUUGAAUUUAGGAACUGA